CUCCACUGGUCUGGUGUAGAACAGGCUCUCUGGAGGUGGUUUGUAACUGUGGUCACAAAAAUCAAUGUUCUGGGAGAACAGGAAGCAGCUCCAUUUUUGGGAGGCCCUUUGCACAGCUCAAGGUCUGGGUCCCAGGGUCCACCUUCAUGUUCCACCAAUGAGUUUGUUCACAGGGGGUGGAGUGUGUAGGGGAUGUCCUGAAAUGUGUGUAAGGAAUGCAUUGUGUGAAUCUGUGUUUGUAUGUGUAAGGGCUGCAAGGUGUGUUUCUGUGUAUGUACGGGAUGCAUUGAGUGUGUUUAAGGGGUGCAUUGAG
RNAcentral lists this long non-coding RNA (313 nucleotides) under Pelobates cultripes (western spadefoot toad). Lineage: Eukaryota; Metazoa; Chordata; Amphibia; Anura; Pelobatidae. The record is from RNAcentral.